RNAcentral lists this ribosomal RNA (468 nucleotides) under uncultured bacterium. Its description in RNAcentral is "partial 16S ribosomal RNA". It matches the Rfam family "Bacterial small subunit ribosomal RNA", at positions 28 to 507 of the family's 1533-position model. The record is from RNAcentral.
GACGAACGCUGGCGGCGUGCUUAACACAUGCAAGUCGAACGGAAAGGCCCUGCUUUUGUGGGGUGCUCGAGUGGCGAACGGGUGAGUAACACGUGAGUAACCUGCCCUUGACUUUGGGAUAACUUCAGGAAACUGGGGCUAAUACCGGAUAGGAGCUCCUGCUGCAUGUUGGGGGUUGGAAAGUUUCGGCGGUUGGGGAUGGACUCGCGGCUUAUCAGCUUGUUGGUGGGGUAGUGGCUUACCAAGGCUUUGACGGGUAGCCGGCCUGAGAGGGUGACCGGCCACAUUGGGACUGAGAGACGGCCCAGACUCCUAAGGGAGGCAGCAGUGGGGAAUAUUGCACAAUGGGCGGAAGCCUGAUGCAGAAACGCCGCGUGCGGGAUGACGGCCUUCGGGUUGUAAACCGCUUUCGCCUGUGACGAAGCGUGAGUGACGGUAAUGGGUAAAGAAGCACCGGCUAACUACGUG